Long non-coding RNA from Corylus avellana, 1372 nucleotides. RefSeq lists it as uncharacterized. Lineage: Eukaryota; Viridiplantae; Streptophyta; Magnoliopsida; Fagales; Betulaceae. The record is from RefSeq and is a predicted model, not a curated record.
UUUACCCACUUAAUAUGGGUAAUCCACCCACCCAAUGUGGGACUAAUUUUCUAGGGCGUCACAUAUGGUCCCUUAGUUUAUUUUAUAUCUAAAGCCUUUAGGGUCCCACAUGAUAAGUAUCUGCAUAUUGUGGCUGAUGUAGAGAAAAAAAUGGAAAAUGAAGUUUUGGCUUCAUCAUCUCAAUUGUAAUCUAUGGAUCAAAUGGGCUGUAAGAAUUCUAGUGUCCAACCAUAAUAGUAACACUUUCGGGAGAUGUUUUUAUUACUGGUUCUUUGCCUUUUAGAGCAAUUUUUGUGAUGGAGCUACAACAUGAAUUAAUAUUUGUGAUUUUUAGUCACAGAUCAGAGAAAACAACAAAUAAAGUUUGUUCUUUUAUUGGUAAUUUGAAUUAGGAAGAGUACAAUAUGUUAAAGGUUAAUCUUAGAUUCUUUUUGUUGUAAUAUAAUGUUGAUGGGGAGUGCAUUAAUGCCUUAAAUCUUUUUCAUUUUUCCUGAUGUUAUGUUAAUUUGUUGAAAUGAUUGCACAGUUCGAUUUGGAGAACAUGAGUUUUGUUGUUGAUAAACCAUCAAUCAUCUUGACAUACCAUAAAAAAGCAAUCAGUGGUCUUGUUUGCUGUUCCUUGGUUUUAACUUCUUUCUAAUUCUGAGUGCCACCUCAGAUGAUAUCCAUUUGCUCCUGAUCAAUUAACUUUUGACAGGGUUAUGUUGCUCAAAGAAAGUGCAAAACACAGCUAGCAUUUUGUGAGGAAUGGAGGAUGAAAAGCCGCUUUUGGUCAUCAAAAAGUUAUCAUCGUAAAGCUGAAGUUUUAAGUCUCAAUUGAGGUUACUUUCUGAUUGCAAGUUCCACUAAAACCUGAUGAAGGUAUUCAGACAGGAUAUUAAACUUACUUCCAAAGAAUAUUCCAAAGAAUAUAUCAAAUUUCCUUUUUUCAGAUGUUAUGUGAAGGAAUGUGGAACUAGAAGAUGGAGCCACAGCAGCCAGUGUCAAGCAAUAAGGAGACAUUUCUUCACAUGCUGCUUGGGGGAAUUCACUGGGAGGUUCAGGAUUUUUGUGAGCACUGAGCUCUGCAAUGCUGUCCAUUGGUUGGAAGGUAUUUUGGGAAGACCAAGAUUGCUUGCAGUAUAGAUAGCAGCCCAAAAGAGGUGGAUGAAGCAACUUGAUGGUAAAAGAAGUUGGCCCUACGAGGGAACCAGAAUAGUGGUGUGUCUAAAAUUUAAUGUUAUUAUUAAUAAAGCUGGCUUGUGUAGUGAGCGUUAGGCCCUCAAUGUGUUGAAUCUGCACCCUGUAAUGGAGGCAGGAACUUGGCUGUCUGUCAUAGAACUUGUCCAGGGGUUCCCUUUUACAAAAUAAAAUAAUGAAAAUAUAAUGCAUU